AACGAACGCUGGCGGCAUGCCUAACACAUGCCAGUCGAACGAGACCUUCGGGUCUAGUGGCGCACGGGUGCGUAACGCGUGGGAACCUGCCCUUAGGUUCGGAAUAACUCCCCGAAAGGGGUACUAAUACCGGAUAAUGUCUUCGGACCAAAGAUUUAUCGCCUUUGGAUGGGCCCGCGUUGGAUUAGCUAGUUGGUAGGGUAAAAGCCUACCAAGGCGACGAUCCAUAGCUGGUCUGAGAGGAUGAUCAGCCACACUGGGACUGAGACACGGCCCAGACUCCUACGGGAGGCAGCAGUGGGGAAUAUUGGACAAUGGGCGAAAGCCUGAUCCAGCAAUGCCGCGUGAGUGAUGAAGGCCUUAGGGUUGUAAAGCUCUUUUACUCGGGAUGAUAAUGACAGUACCGGGAGAAUAAGCGCCGGCUAACUCCGUG
RNAcentral lists this ribosomal RNA (433 nucleotides) under uncultured bacterium. RNAcentral describes it as "partial 16S ribosomal RNA". It matches the Rfam family "Bacterial small subunit ribosomal RNA", at positions 29 to 507 of the family's 1533-position model. The record is from RNAcentral.